Molecule: ribosomal RNA, 253 nt
Filed under: uncultured bacterium
Lineage: Bacteria
Description: partial 16S ribosomal RNA
Rfam family: Bacterial small subunit ribosomal RNA
Source: RNAcentral
UACGGAGGGUGCAAGCGUUGUCCGGAUUUAUUGGGUUUAAAGGGUGCGUAGGCGGCCCGGUAAGUCAGUGGUGAAAGCCUCCAGCUCAACUGGAGAACUGCCAUUGAUACUGCCGGGCUUGAGUACAGACGAGGUUGGCGGAAUUGAUUGUGUAGCGGUGAAAUGCAUAGAUACAAUCAAGAACUCCGAUUACGUAGGCAGCUAACUAGGCUGUAACUGACGCUGAGGCACGAAAGCGUGGGGAGCGAACAGG